CGCGCAUUCAGUGGAUGUGUCCCACGUGGAGAAGGCGAAGUUGGGAAGGGGCAGCCCUCGCGAAGGGCCACUUGGUCUGGGCACUUAUUCACUGGGGUGGAAUGGGAUGGCAGCGGAGCAGGGGACAGCCUAGGCUAAAAGGCCGCCCGGGGGCAGCCCCUCCAGAUCCGUCCUCAUAACGACCGGCGGGCUCUCCACCGCCACUCCCGCGUGGCCCGCGACUCAGACUCCCGGCGACUGGAAAGGACGGACGCGGCACUCCCGCCGGGGUCCCGGGACCCAAUGCGGGCGCGACAUGGGUCGGUCCGGCGCUGGGAGGCUGCGCCACGCGCGAGGACCGGGAUGCCUGGCCACCAGAAACGCCGCGCUAGUUUCAGAAACUACCACCUUCACAACUACAACAACAACAACAAAAAUUUAUAUAUGCCACAGUGAGAGCAUAACUCAUCCCAGUUUCCCUAAAUUCAAGUUACUUGAAGUCAGCUACUCGGUUAGGUUGACAUUCUUUUGAUGUUCAAUAUUGGUGAUCUGAACAUUAUGUUAAUCCUUCCUGAUUUCUUCAAUGAAAUAAUUAUCUGGCUGCAAACUACAAUUAAAUUAAUACGGUUUGAAGUG
This 615-nucleotide long non-coding RNA is filed under the name Homo sapiens (human). RNAcentral describes it as "HSALNT0199802". The record is from RNAcentral. Lineage: Eukaryota; Metazoa; Chordata; Mammalia; Primates; Hominidae.